GGAUGUGAGGGCAAUCUGGUUGUGACAUCUGUCACCCCAUUGAUCAUCAGGGUUGAUUCAGCUGAUCUAGCUGGCUAGGCCAGUGUCCCCUUCCUCCCUCAUGGCUCCAUGUGCGCCACCCGCCCCCCCACCCCACCCCGCCAACCAAGGCUGCAUGCUCAGUUGAAGAGGACAACCAUCCCUGAUGGAGGAGGACUGCUCUUCGGUCAAGGGUAUACGAGUCGCUGUGCUCCCCUGCUAGAACCUUCAAGCAAGCUCUCAAGGAAUAAGUGGUAAUCUAAGGAUCAUUAACGUAUUUCCACAGUUAGUUACCUGAAGAGCAGAAGAGGAGGUUUGCCUCCUUUACGU
Molecule: small nuclear RNA, 348 nt
Filed under: Bos mutus (wild yak)
Lineage: Eukaryota; Metazoa; Chordata; Mammalia; Artiodactyla; Bovidae
Description: 7SK RNA (ENSBMUG00000001458.1)
Rfam family: 7SK RNA
About the family: 7SK was discovered as an abundant small nuclear RNA in the mid-70s but a possible function has only recently been suggested.
Source: Rfam by way of RNAcentral